Molecule: ribosomal RNA, 414 nt
Filed under: uncultured bacterium
Lineage: Bacteria
Description: bacterial SSU rRNA
Rfam family: Bacterial small subunit ribosomal RNA
Source: RNAcentral
GAUGAACGCUAGCGGCAGGCCUAAUACAUGCAAGUCGAGGGGCAGCGGGAGUAGCAAUACUUGCCGGCGACCGGCGCACGGGUGCGUAACACGUAUACAAUCUGCCUUCUACUGGGGGAUAGCCUUUCGAAAGAGAGAUUAAUACCCCAUAAUAAAUUGAAUAGCAUUAUUUGAUUUUGAAAGAUCCGUCGGUAGAAGAUGAGUAUGCGUCUGAUUAGCUAGUUGGUGAGGUAAUGGCUCACCAAGGCUACGAUCAGUAGGGGAUCUGAGAGGACUACCCCCCACACUGGUACUGAGACACGGACCAGACUCUACGGGAGCAGCAGUAAGGAAUAUUGGACAAUGGAGGCAACUCUGAUCCAGCCAUGCCGCGUGCAGGAUGAAGGGCCCCUAUGGGUCGUAAACUGCUUUUAG